This 395-nucleotide ribosomal RNA is filed under the name Chlorella sp. MACC 810. Its description in RNAcentral is "SSU rRNA". It matches the Rfam family "Eukaryotic small subunit ribosomal RNA", at positions 610 to 1004 of the family's 1831-position model. The record is from RNAcentral. Lineage: Eukaryota; Viridiplantae; Chlorophyta; Trebouxiophyceae; Chlorellales; Chlorellaceae.
ACCAUAGCUUGUUGCAGUUAAAAAGCUCGUAGUUGGAUUUCGGGUGGGUUCUAGCGGUCCGCCUAUGGUGAGUACUGCUAUGGCCUUCCUUUCUGUCGGGGACGGGCUUCUGGGCUUAAUUGUCCGGGACUCGGAGUCGACGUGGUUACUUUGAGUAAAUUAGAGUGUUCAAAGCAGGCUUACGCCCUGAAUACUUUAGCAUGGAAUAACACGAUAGGACUCUGGCCUAUCUUGUUGGUCUGUAGGACUGGAGUAAUGAUUAAGAGGGACAGUCGGGGGCAUUCGUAUUUCAUUGUCAGAGGUGAAAUUCUUGGAUUUAUGAAAGACGAACUACUGCGAAAGCAUUUGCCAAGGAUGUUUUCAUUAAUCAAGAACGAAAGUUGGGGGCUCGAAGA